RNAcentral lists this ribosomal RNA (253 nucleotides) under uncultured bacterium. RNAcentral's name for it is "partial 16S ribosomal RNA". It matches the Rfam family "Bacterial small subunit ribosomal RNA", at positions 524 to 776 of the family's 1533-position model. The record is from RNAcentral.
UACGUAGGGUGCAAGCGUUGUCCGGAAUUAUUGGGCGUAAAGAGCUCGUAGGCGGUUUGUCGCGUCUGCCGUGAAAGUCCGGGGCUCAACUCCGGAUCUGCGGUGGGUACGGGCAGACUAGAGUGAUGUAGGGGAGACUGGAAUUCCUGGUGUAGCGGUGAAAUGCGCAGAUAUCAGGAGGAACACCAAUGGCGAAGGCAGCUCGCUGGGACGGUACUGACGCUGAGGCGCGAAAGCGUGGGGAGCAAACAGG